This 425-nucleotide ribosomal RNA is filed under the name Lactococcus garvieae. Its description in RNAcentral is "bacterial SSU rRNA". It matches the Rfam family "Bacterial small subunit ribosomal RNA", at positions 66 to 474 of the family's 1533-position model. The record is from RNAcentral. Lineage: Bacteria; Bacillati; Bacillota; Bacilli; Lactobacillales; Streptococcaceae.
AUGAUUAAAGAUAGCUUGCUAUUUUUAUGAAGAGCGGCGAACGGGUGAGUAACGCGUGGGAAAUCUGCCGAGUAGCGGGGGACAACGUUUGGAAACGAACGCUAAUACCGCAUAACAAUGAGAAUCGCAUGAUUCUUAUUUAAAAGAAGCAAUUGCUUCACUACUUGAUGAUCCCGCGUUGUAUUAGCUAGUUGGUAGUGUAAAGGACUACCAAGGCGAUGAUACAUAGCCGACCUGAGAGGGUGAUCGGCCACACUGGGACUGAGACACGGCCCAGACUCCUACGGGAGGCAGCAGUAGGGAAUCUUCGGCAAUGGGGGCAACCCUGACCGAGCAACGCCGCGUGAGUGAAGAAGGUUUUCGGAUCGUAAAACUCUGUUGUUAGAGAAGAACGUUAAGUAGAGUGGAAAAUUACUUAAGUGACG